GGGCCCGUAGCUCAGCUUGGUAGAGCGACCGGCUCAUAACCGGUCGGUCAUGGGUUCAAGUCCCUUCGGGCCCA
RNAcentral lists this transfer RNA (74 nucleotides) under Nitrososphaerota archaeon. RNAcentral's name for it is "tRNA-Ile". It matches the Rfam family "tRNA". Rfam says of the family: Transfer RNA (tRNA) molecules are approximately 80 nucleotides in length. Their secondary structure includes four short double-helical elements and three loops (D, anti-codon, and T loops). Lineage: Archaea; Thermoproteati; Nitrososphaerota. RNAcentral also lists the same sequence under 1 other name. The record is from RNAcentral.